GUAAGCAGGGACAAGCAGGAAAUCGCUCUCCUCUUCUCUUCUCUGCGGAGACACGGAGCAGAUGUGAUAUGGAGGAGUAAGAGGACCUGAGUAAGAGGACUGGACCUUUUCUCUGUACCUACUGUGGGAUAACGCUCUUGUUCAGUGUGAAGAUUUGUCACUCGCAUUGGUUUAGUAAAACGCUGAGGAUUUGUCACAGUUAUCGGUUUAGUAAAACGCUGAUUGGCCAGUAGCCAGGCUGGAAGUAUAGGUGGGGCUGCCAGACGAAGAGAAUUCUGGGAAGAGGAAGGAAGAGAUGGAGUUGCCAGCCAGACGCAGAAGAAGAUGAGAAUGUCUUCCUGAGAAGAGCAGUAGAGAGUAGCGAUGGUGAGAAGGGCAAACACGGCAAAGCUGGACAUGAUGGAGACGAUGACCGUCAUGGAGUACGCAGGCGCAGAGACCGCCAGGGAGGAGGUGGAGGAAGGCAUGUUCGGAAUGUCCACGCUCGGCUUGGAGGACGCCACCGAUGGGAAUGCUGCAAGGGAACGAUAGUUCUUUCCGCUUACUUUGGAGCCUUUAAGAAGCAGGUUUUUUGUUUGUUUGGUUUUUGUGUUUUGUGCUGAAGCACUUACUACCACAGCACUAAGAACAGGCUAGUGUAUCAGGGUCUCCUUGGCUAUCUGUCUAUAAAGUCCAGUAUUAAGGAUCCAGUAAGGUUCAUUUGCAAGGAAGAGGAGAAAUACACUUUUUUUUUCUGAAAGAAAUGUAAGGCCCAGACUUAGGCUUCUUAUGUACCACCUAUGACUGACGGCACUGGGAAAAUUAUGCACUCAAAAAUAUUUUCACAUAAUGAGAUGACUGAAUGUGAGAACUCUGUGUGUGUGUGUGUGUGACUGGAAGAAGAUGAAAAAUGAAUCCACCGGAACAUAAACAAGCAAAAGUCAACUCAUCUACAACUUGAACUCUUAUCAAACUCCCACGUAAAAGGCCCAUAAAAGCAAUAAAAUCUGCAUUUGUGCUGGUAUCAGCAAAUGCUACCUGAAGCUUGUCAGUCCACGGUGGACAUAGUUAAACAACCUUAUUGUGAAUACCUUGAAAUCUUCUUUGUAAAGUGAGUAAAGACAAAAAAAAAAAACAAAACCACAGAAACAGAUAUUUUAUACAUAACCAAAAACAGUCUUGACAGCCAAGAAUCAACUUUGUAGCCCAAAAAGAGAUGAUUUCUUCAAAUCCUGGGGAAGACUGACAGAUGUGACUGGUGUUAGGCCACAAAGAUAAACCUCAAUAAAUGUUAAAAGCAUAAA
Long non-coding RNA from Mesocricetus auratus (golden hamster), 1283 nucleotides. RefSeq lists it as uncharacterized. NCBI's taxonomy places the organism in Eukaryota, Metazoa, Chordata, Mammalia, Rodentia, Cricetidae. The record is from RefSeq and is a predicted model, not a curated record. The transcript is spliced from 3 exons.